Molecule: long non-coding RNA, 153 nt
Organism: Hypanus sabinus (Atlantic stingray)
Lineage: Eukaryota; Metazoa; Chordata; Chondrichthyes; Myliobatiformes; Dasyatidae
Exons: 3
Source: RefSeq, a predicted model, not a curated record
CAAGCCCGCUCCCCCAUCGGUGAAGCGUCUGCCACGGUUUCUGAAGCAGAUGUACCUGGAAACCAAGAUCCCAUUCCAGAUGGCAAAAAUGAAGUUCUGCAGUCAAACAUUUUUGAAGCUUUGAAGAGUCAAAUGGAACGUUUUGAAGGAAGC